Molecule: long non-coding RNA, 585 nt
Filed under: Phasianus colchicus (ring-necked pheasant)
Lineage: Eukaryota; Metazoa; Chordata; Aves; Galliformes; Phasianidae
Description: lncRNA (ENSPCLG00000020222.1)
Source: RNAcentral
UAUGGCCCCAGUGCUCCCAGUAUGGCCCCAAUAUGCCCCCAGUGCUCCCAGUAUGGCCCCAAUACAGCCCCAGUGCUCCCAGUACGGCCCCAGUACAGCCCCAGUGCUCCCAGUAUGGCCCCAGUAUGGCCCCAGUAUGGCCCCAGUGCUCCCAGUAUGGCCCCAAUACGACCCCAGUAUGGCCCCAUUACUCCCAAUACGGCCCCAAUACAACCCCAAUUCUCCCAGUACGGCCCCAAUACGACCCCAACCCCUCCCAGUUGAUCCCAGUUUGUCCCAGUUCUCACCUCCCCGUGGCCUCGGCAGUGCCGGCCCGCGUUGGCGAUCACCUGCUCAUCGCUCAGCUCCCCGUAGGGCUGCUCCCUGCACCGGGUCAGCACCUCCCACAGCGUCACCCCAAAAGCCCACGCGUCGCUGGCAGGGGUGAAGGUGCCCUAAAGGGAAAGGGGGAGAGGGGAGAAAAGACCCCAUAAUCCCAUUAUCCACCCCAUAACUCCAUAAUCCCCACCCUCACCCCGUUACGCAGCCCACAACCCUACAACCCCCACCCUGACCCCAAAAUCCCAUUACCCACCUCAUAACCCC